This is a long non-coding RNA of Antechinus flavipes (yellow-footed antechinus), 6425 nucleotides long. RefSeq lists it as uncharacterized. The record is from RefSeq and is a predicted model, not a curated record. NCBI's taxonomy places the organism in Eukaryota, Metazoa, Chordata, Mammalia, Dasyuromorphia, Dasyuridae. The transcript is spliced from 3 exons.
GUCACUUUACGUUUUGUCCCUCCUCGUUCUGGGCAAUUAUGGCGAGGGAUUAGUUUUCACUCCCUCCUUCCCCUCCCCACGGGCCCUUCCAGUGAUCUCUGGGAGGGGGACGGGAGGGGAAAGGUCAGAGAAGGGAGCGCCCUCCCCGAAGGUCUGGCUAGUAGCUCCAGCCAUAAUUACAGCCCUCUCUCAUCCUCCAAGCUCAGCGACCUUGAGAAGCCAUAGAACACUGAACAAUGUCCGAAUUGGGAGGAACCCUAGAAUAUCUUAGUGAUUUAUCAAUUCAACCCACUCUUUUUGGUGGAGAACCAAUCCGGAGGAAAUUCUCCAGGCAGGCAGCAGGAGGACGGGAGAGGGAAGCGCUUACCUCAGAGUUGGCGAACCCCGGCCCCCGCUGGUUGUGUGACCUUGACAAACCUGCACCUUCGGGGGCUAAAGUUGAACAACUAUCGCGGAUCUGAGCUGGGGAAAGGCUCCGAGGCAGCUGCCAAUGAAGGAGGUCCGACUUCUCUCACUAAACUUCCCAGCCGCUCUAGGAUCUGACCUCAGACACUUAGCCAGCUGUGUGAUCCUGGGUAAGUCAUUUUAUCAUAUUUGCCUCAGUUUCCUCAUCUGUACAACGGCCAACCCUUCCAGUAUCUCUGCCAAGAAAACUCCAAAAUGGAGUCACGAAGUAAGCAGCUGAAGUAGCUGCGGUCAGGUCUUGGACAAGUCCCUCAAAUUCUGUGAAACUUCUCUUCUUAUGCAAUCCCUCCCACACUCGCACAUUGGGCUCCUUCUUCUCCCCCGGGGCCCAGGGGCAGCCCUGAAGCAUUAGGGCAUCUUUCUCUGCUGUCAUAUAGCUCAUGAGCCCCCAUCGAUGCGCUGUGACUUUCAGUUGCUCCCGGUCAGCCAGGCUUCAUUAAGUUUUAGAAAGAAGUAUUUUAUUACGUCUCUAUGGUUGCUUUUUUUUUUUUUAAAUCCUUAAGUCAGGGAACACUCUCCUGUGAAUAAACUCUGUCAGAAAGACAUAAGAGUGGACUCAAGUACAAGUGGUAAAGCGGUAACUCACAGAUGCUGGGAGUCUCUGCUGGAGUUCUCAAGAUUUUUCCCCUUAGGCAGGUUGUCCCUUUUUUUUUUUUUUUUUUUUUUCCUGCUGGGCUAUUUGUAGUCUUGAAUUUCCAUUAAAUCUGUCCUUGGUGCUAAGUGAGAUGAGCAGAACCAGGAGAUCAUUAUAUACCUCAACAACGAUACUGUUUGAGGAUGUAUUCUGAUGGAAGUGGAUCUCUUCGAUAAGGAGAGCUAAUUCAGUUUCAAUGGAUCAAGGAUGGACAGAAGCAGCUACACCUAAAGAAAGAACACUGGGAGAUGAAUAUCAACUGCUUGCAUUUUGGUUUUUCUUCCCGGGUUAUUUCUACCUUCUGAAUCCAAUUCUCCCUGUGCAACAAGAAAACUGUUCGGUUCUGCACAUGUAUAUUGUAUCUAGGAUAUACUGCAACCUAUUUAACAUGUAAAGGACUGCUUGCCAUCUGGGGAGGGGGUGGAGGGAGGGAGGAGAAAGAUCGGAACAGAAGUGAGUGCAAGGGAUAAUGCUGUAAAAAAUUACCCUGGCAUGGGUUCUGUCAAUAAAAAGUUAUUAAAAAAAAAAAAAACCUGUCCUUGGCCUCUGAUGCAGACAGUGCAAUUAGCUAUUCUGGGGCCGCUGCUAGGACAAAAGCCAAAACCCUCCGGAUCUCCAAAGUUCACCAGCUUCACGGUGCCGUUAGUGGUGAGAAGGAGCCUGAGACGGAAGCCCUUCCCUCCCAAGGGGAGAAGUUUGGGGCUCCCUUCUCCGUCACCAAAUCUCAUUCCAACCAGCUUGCAGUUUUCUACAGGACUCAGAGGGCAUGACCAAUUUAACCAUUUUUUUUUAUUUUUAAAUAAAUUUUUUUUAUUUAUCAAUUUAUCAGUCUUUAGCCAAUUCAAACAGAUUUCUCGGGACACCCAAGCUUGUGCCCCAGCUUCUUUCACCCUUAGCAGACAAAGGAGAAGCUUUUUACCAGAUAAAUGGAAAGGGGCAGAGCGUUUAUAUGCUUACUUCGAGGGGAAUGGGUUAAUUGAUUUACCAGCUCUAACUUUCCAUAUAUAAAUAGAGUGAUCUUCACUUUACACAUAAGAAAUUAGACUCCGAAGGGUCUUGCCAAGGGAACCUCGUUCUAGUGAUUCCAUAUCCCGAGGAUCUUUGCAAUACACUUAAGCUCCCUUUCCUAGGAGGGAUUGAUCUUCCCAACUCAGCAAAGAAAUCAAUUUGGAAAUCCCUUUCUCAUUGGCUGGGGGAUGUCCAAGUCAGAACAAUCUUCCCAAGCAGACUUCGAGCUCAGGUACAGGUGGAAAGCCUGGCCACCUACUCUGAGCAGGAUACAGUUUCUCUUCCCGAGCCAAGGCUGGGAACUCUUGGGUCUGUUUUGAUGCAUCACCAAGGUGCCCCUGGCAAGCACCUUCCCUGCUUCAGGUCCCAGUCCUUACUUGGUAGUUGUUCUGAAUUGCCUGAAGUGAUGUGAGUCAUUGUUCAUUCCUGUCUCCCUUUUGUAGACAGGGGUCACCUGGGGUGCCAAGCUAAGGACAGAACAGCACCUGAAGGCCAUGCUGACCCGCCCCUCCAGAUUGGGGAAGGGGUAGGCUAGACUAAGGGCUUUUAGCUUCUUUGGGGACAUAACCUCCUUGGGUGGCUUGAGAAAGCCUACGAACCCCUUCUUAGAAUUUUGUUUGUUAAUGCAUAUAGAAUAAGUUUAGCUCUCUUUGCAUGUAUUUUGAAAAUAAAAAGCUAUUAUUUUAGAAAGGAAGGAAGAAAGAAAGAAAGAAAGAAAGAAAGAAAGAAAGAAAGAAAGAAAGAAAGAAAGAAAGAAAGAAAGAAAGAAAGAAAAGAAGGAAGGAAGGAAGGAAGGAAGGAAGGAAGGAAGGAAGGAAGGAAGGAAGGAAGAAAGAAAGAAAGGAAGGAAGGAAGGAUGGAAGAAAAAGAAAGAAAGAAAAGAAGGAAGGAAGGAAGAGAGAGAGAGAGAAAGAAAGAAAGAAGAGAAAUAGACUAGAUUAUUUUUAUUCCAACUCUGAGAAUCUAAAACUUCAUGGAAGCUGUUACCUCAGGCUGAUUACUUGGUUAUAUUCUUAGAAUGGCUGGUACAAGGAUAAUUGAUUUAGAGCUGGAAGUAAUAUUAGAGCUUUUUUUUAAAAUAACUUUUUAUUGACAGAACCCAUGCCAGGGUAAUUUUUUACAGCAUUAUCUCUUGCGCUCACUUCUGUUCCGAUUUUCCCCCUCCCUCCCUUCACCCCCUCCCCCAGAUGGCAAGCAGUCCUUUACAUGUUAAAUAGGUUACAGUAUAUCCUAGAUACAAUAUCUGUGUGCAGAACCGAACAGUUCUCUUGUUGCACAGGGAGAAUUGGAUUCAGAAGGUAUAACUAACCCGGAAGAAAAACAAAAAUGCAGAUAGUUCACAUUCAUUUCCCAUGUUCUUUCUUUGGGUGUAGCUGCUUCUGUCCAUCCUUGAUCAAUUGAAACUGAAUUAGCAAUAUUAGAGCUUUUAAAAGAAGAAUAAGUUUAUAUUGAAAUCGCUAUAAUUCAUUUGAAUUUCACAGAUCUCAGGUUAAGAUGGUCUGAUUUAGGCUCUCUCUCUUAUUUUACAAAUGAACAAAUGGAGGCUUAGACAGGAAGAUGGCCUGCCCACACUCACACAGGUGAUUCCAAAUUCAGUGCUGAAUGCUCAGUUGACCUUCAGUCCUAGGCCCGGGAGGCCAGCCAGCUUUCCUGAACAGUGUUUCCCAAUGAGAACAAAGGAGGUUUCUUCUCAGGCAAUGAAGCUACAACAUUAGGGGGUCGCUCAGCUGACUCCUUGCCUCUAGUCUUCAUCUGGCUUAGGAUUUCUCUUUGUCCCACAGAAAUAAGCUCUCGCUGGAACCUGCCCUGCGCCCAGGAUGGUAUUCAGAGGGAACACAAAAGCUUCUUAAGUCCUGGCCCCCCUCUGCCCUCCCCACUUCCUACAGUCACUUCUUAACCUGCCAUCCCGGGCCAGCCCUGGGCGAUGCCUGAAAUGGGCCAAGUGCUUUUGGCCCCCAAACUCCUCUUUCUGGGCCCUCUCCCAACUUUUUAGCACCUCCUUCUAAUCAGGCACCCACUGUGCCUCUGGCUGUUCUUUCUGUCAGAGAAGCAGCCCCCUAGAGUGGAAAAAUACUAGUCUGGGAAUCCAGAAAUCCCCGUUCCAAUCCUAGCUCUGAAAUUACCUCUCUGUGACUCAGCCAACCUGCUCCCUUUCUCAAGGUCCUCAUCUUCUUAAUCUGUAAAAUGUAUUCCCCACUGACAUCCCCUGUUCUAAGCUCCCUCCCAGCUCUGACAUCCCCUGUUCUAAGCUCCCUCCCAGCUCUGACACCCCCUGUUCUAAGCCCCCUCCCAGCUUUGACAUCCCCUGUUCUAAGUCCCCUCCCAGCCCUGACACCUCCUGUUCUAAGCUCCCUCCCAGCUCUGACAUCCCCUGUUCUAAGCCCCCUCCCAGUUCUGACAUCCCCUGUUCUAAGCCCCCUCCCGGCCCUGACAUCCCCUGUUCUAAGCUCCCUCCCAGCUCUGACAUCCCUUUUCUAAGCCCCCUCCCAGCUCUGACCUGGCUGGGACUGGUCACAGUUCCAGGAUCAAGAGGAGUGCUAAUGCUUAAAGCUCUAGGGGAACAGGGACUGUUCCUGGAUAAAGUCCAGAGCAUAAACCAGACAGCAGUGACCACAUCUGUCCCAGUAUGAUUGAUCCUGGGUCAAUGGAAUGAUCCUGAUCACGGAAGCCCUGAAAACUUCCCGCAGCCUCUGAAUUAGCUCUGAAAACCACAUAACAGAAAGUCUGAAGCUUGGGACAAUGUCUCCUCUACCCAAGGUGAGCAGAGCCUAACCUUUAACAUAGGCUAAAAAAAUGAAGAAACAAUGACAAUAAUAACUAAACAAAUUUAAAAAAAACUACAACGUGGUAGGAAAGAUCAAGACACAAACUCCGAAAAAAGACAGCAAUGUGAAAAUAACUACAACCAAAGCUUCAAAGCUAACUGUUAACCGGAAAUGAGAAUUCCUGGAGAGCUUAAAAAAAUAAAUAAAUAAAGAGGGGUAGAGGGAAAAUUGAGAAAGGAAAUGAGAGUGAUGUAUUUUCUAACUGGUACAAUAGAACAAUGAAAUAAUAUUUGAAAAUUAUAGAAAAUGUUUCUGAUAAAGUCCUCAUUUCUCAAAUAAAUAGGGAACUGAAUCAAAUUUAUAAAAAUAAGAGCCAUUUCCCAACUGAUAAAUAGUCAAAGGAAAUAAACAGUUUUCAGAAGAAGAAAUCAAAGCUAUCAAUAGUUAUAUAGAAAAAUACACUAAAUGACUAGUGAUUAGAGAAAUGAAAAUUAAAACUUCACCACAUACUUAUUAGAAAUGAUAAAUGCUGGGGGAUAUAUGGAGAAAUAGGGACACUAAUUCACUGUUGUGAAGUGAUAACCCUAGUCCAAUCAUUCUGGAGACCAAUUAGAAACUCUGCCCAAAUGAUUAUAACACUAUUCCUUUUUUAUUAUAGCUUUUUAUUGACAAAACAUAUGCGUGGGUAAUUUUUCAACAUUGACCCUUGCAAAGACUUUUGUUCCAACUUUUCCCCUCUUUCCCCCCCUCCCCUAGAUGGCAGGUAGUCUAAUACAUGUUAAAUAUGUUAAAGUAUAUGUUAAAUACAAUAUAUGUAUACAUAUUUAUCCAAAAACUAUGCCUUUUGACCCUAAAAUACUACUUGGCAUGUAUCCUAAAGAGAUAAAAGAAAAAAAGGAAGAAAACCUAGAAGUACAAAAAUAUUUAUAGCAGCUUUUUCUGAUGUCAAUGAAUUGGGAAUCGAGGGGUUGCCCGUUAAUUGGGGUAUGGAUGAACAAGCUGUGGUUUAUGGCUGUGAUGAAAUAUUAUUGUUCCAUAAGAAAUGAUGACCAGGCUGAUUUCAGAGAGUCCUAGAAAAAUUUAAAUGAACUGAUGCUAAGUAAAAUGAGCAAAAUCAAAAGAACAUUGUACACAGUAACAACAAGAUCAUAUGAUGGUCAACUGUGAUGGACUUGGCUCUUUUCAACAAUGCAGUGAUUCAAGGCAAUUUCAGUAGAAUUGUGGUGGAAAAUGCCGUCCACACCAAGAAAGAGAACCAUGGAGACUGAAUGUGGAUCAAAACUUAAUAUUCUCACCCUUCUUUUGUUAUUGUUGUUUGGGUUUUUUUCCUUUCUUGUGUCUUUUUUUUUUUCUUUUUGAUCUGGUUUUUCUUGCACAGCAUGAUGAAUAUGGAAAUAUGUUUAGAAGAAUUGCAGAUGUUUAACCUAUAUCAGAUUGCUUGGGAGAGGGGGCGGAAAGAGGGAAACAAGUUUGGAACAUAAGGUUUUGCAAAGGUGAAUGUUAAAAACUAUCUAUACAUGUAUUUGGAAAAUAAAAUACUAUUUUAAAAAGAC